Molecule: ribosomal RNA, 441 nt
Filed under: uncultured bacterium
Lineage: Bacteria
Description: partial 16S ribosomal RNA
Rfam family: Bacterial small subunit ribosomal RNA
Source: RNAcentral
CCUACGGGCGUCAGCAGUGGGGGAUAUUGCACAAUGGGGGGAACCCUGAUGCAGCGACGCCGCGGGGGUGAAGGAGUGCUUCGGCAUGUAAAGCCCUAUCGGCAGGGAAGAAGCAAGACGGUACCUGACUAAGAAGCCCCGGCUAACUACGUGCCAGCAGCCGCGGUAAUACGUAGGGGGCAAGCGUUAGCCGGAUUUACGGGGUGUAAAGGGAGCGUAGACGGUUAUGUAAGUAUGGAGUGAAAGCCCGGGGCCCAACCCCGGGACUGCUUUGGAAACUGUGUAACUGGAGUACAGGAGGGGCAGGCGGAAUUCCUGGUGUAGCGGUGAAAUGCGUAGAUAUCAGGAGGAACACCGGCGGCGAAGGCGGCCUGCUGGACUGAAACUGACGUUGAGGCUCGAAAGCGUGGGGAGCAAACAGGAUUAGAUACCCCGGUAGUC